GGAAGUGCUGCCUGAUAGGGAGCGUCCUACCCACCCCGUCUGCUGGAGCUGGACUGACCAGGGACGGCCACCCCUGAGGGGACUCUAGUGCUGCACUGGGAGGUGAGGUGAAGUUAGGGCAGCGACGAUUGGCCGAUUACUGAAGAGGCAUGCCACUUAGGCUUUCUGAACCUCAGUUUCCUCAUUCGUAAAAUAGAAACAAGAAUCCUGCUCUUGCGCCCCCUCCCGGGAUUAUUAGAAGAUUGAAUCCUAAAAAAAAAGAAGAAGAAGAUUGAAUCCUUUUAUGGAUUUGAGGGUCCCUGGCUUUAUAAAUUUAAAAUAUUUAAUUCUUUCAGCCAGCCUGGAUUAUUUGCUCCCUUAGAGCCCAUAGAUUUACUGUAAUUGAUUCAGUCCACUCCGAUUUUUCUCGCCCAUAAGUAUUUUUAUUUAAAAAUGAAUAUAUCUUAUCUUCUUCAACGAAGCACUUUUGCAGCCAUUACGUCUUUUCGGAGCUAGACAGAAGUUACUAAACCUGGAAAAUUCCUUAAGGAUCACUUGCUUCAAAGGGAGACACGGUGGCCCUGCUGUUCAAGGAGCGUCAGUGACCCAGAGAGUCAGUGACCAAGAGGAAACGCCUGUCUCCUGGGGACUUCCAAGAUACUAGCUACAGUCUCUUAUAUUUACACCUUUCCUCCCUAAGGACAGCAGGAAAAAGAAAGUUCCGUGUUUCUUUUUAAAUCAGGGAGAUGUUAAUAGCUACAUGGCUCAUUUUGUCUACACCACAGAAAUAACAGUGGUUCCAGUUAAUCAUGCUCAUGUUGAGGGGGAGUGCUUAUGCAGGGGCCACCAGAAGACCCCUCUCCUUCACUACCACCACCACCACCCUAAGAAAUGAAAAGCCAAAAAAAGAAACCAAAAAACCAGAGGUCAACAAGAAGCUUCCAGAGGUAGUCAGCAGGGGACAAGAAAGUGUUUUUAUAAAAAACGCACAUAUCUUUGAUGACAAAAAAAAAGGGAUAGCUAUGAAGGAAAAAUGAAGCAAAUAAAAAUUAUUUAAAG
RNAcentral lists this long non-coding RNA (1038 nucleotides) under Homo sapiens (human). RNAcentral describes it as "non-protein coding lnc-GNE-3:3". Lineage: Eukaryota; Metazoa; Chordata; Mammalia; Primates; Hominidae. The record is from RNAcentral.